This 253-nucleotide ribosomal RNA is filed under the name uncultured bacterium. RNAcentral's name for it is "partial 16S ribosomal RNA". It matches the Rfam family "Bacterial small subunit ribosomal RNA", at positions 524 to 776 of the family's 1533-position model. The record is from RNAcentral.
UACGGAGGGGGCUAGCGUUGUUCGGAAUUACUGGGCGUAAAGCGCACGUAGGCGGCUUUGCAAGUUAGAGGUGAAAGCCCGGAGCUCAACUCCGGAAUUGCCUUUAAAACUGCAUCGCUAGAAUUGUGGAGAGGUAAGUGGAAUUCCGAGUGUAGAGGUGAAAUUCGUAGAUAUUCGGAAGAACACCAGUGGCGAAGGCGACUUACUGGUCCGGUUCUGACGCUGAGGCGCGAAAGCGUGGGGAGCAAACAGG